This 407-nucleotide ribosomal RNA is filed under the name Verrucomicrobiota bacterium. RNAcentral describes it as "Verrucomicrobia bacterium partial 16S ribosomal RNA". It matches the Rfam family "Bacterial small subunit ribosomal RNA", at positions 355 to 776 of the family's 1533-position model. The record is from RNAcentral. Lineage: Bacteria; Pseudomonadati; Verrucomicrobiota.
UGGGGAAUAUUGGGCAAUGGGCGAAAGCCUGACCCAGCAACGCCGCGUGAAGUAUGAAGGCCUUCUGGUUGUAAACUUCUUUGAUCAGGGAAGAAACAAAUGACGGUACCUGAAAAACAAGCCACGGCUAACUACGUGCCAGCAGCCGCGGUAAUACGUAGGUGGCGAGCGUUAUCCGGAUUUACUGGGUGUAAAGGGCGUGCAGGCGGGCUGAUAAGUCAGAUGUGAAAUCCCCGAGCUUAACUCGGGAACUGCAUCUGAUACUGUUGGUCUUGAGUGCUGGAGAGGAUAGUGGAAUUCCUAGUGUAGCGGUAAAAUGCGCAGAUAUUAGGAGGAACACCAGUGGCGAAGGCGGCUAUCUGGACAGUAACUGACGCUGAGGCGCGAAAGCGUGGGUAGCAAACAGG